GUUUUUCUAUCGUCCAGCUGUCUGAACACCCACAUGUAAACUUGACAAUGUAGCCUUUAUUCCUUUUUAAAAGCGGAUUUCAAGUGUCUAAAAGAAAGUUUUAGUUUCUUCUUCAUUACACAUCGGAUUACAUAACUUAGUUUACACUUGAGGUCACACCUGGGAGAAUUGGGAAUGGGAUCCGGACAGUAAAUCUCCUGAUGCUCAUCUGUCUCUGUGCCGACAAGCCGUAUAUUUUCAUAUCAGCCCU
RNAcentral lists this long non-coding RNA (250 nucleotides) under Sinocyclocheilus anshuiensis. RNAcentral describes it as "lncRNA (ENSSANG00000007704.1)". Lineage: Eukaryota; Metazoa; Chordata; Actinopteri; Cypriniformes; Cyprinidae. The record is from RNAcentral.